UGGGGAAUAUUGGGCAAUGGGCGAAAGCCUGACCCAGCAACGCCGCGUGAGGGAAGAAGGGUUUCGGCUCGUAAACCUCUGUCCUAUGGGACGAAGGAAGUGACGGUACCAUAGGAGGAAGCCCCGGCUAACUACGUGCCAGCAGCCGCGGUAAUACGUAGGGGGCGAGCGUUGUCCGGAAUGAUUGGGCGUAAAGGGCGCGUAGGCGGCCUGAUAAGUCUGGAGUGAAAGUCCUGCUUUCAAGGUGGGGAGCAAACAGGAUUAGAUACCCUGGUAGU
Molecule: ribosomal RNA, 278 nt
Filed under: uncultured bacterium
Lineage: Bacteria
Description: partial 16S ribosomal RNA
Rfam family: Bacterial small subunit ribosomal RNA
Source: RNAcentral